RNAcentral lists this ribosomal RNA (253 nucleotides) under uncultured bacterium. RNAcentral's name for it is "partial 16S ribosomal RNA". It matches the Rfam family "Bacterial small subunit ribosomal RNA", at positions 524 to 776 of the family's 1533-position model. The record is from RNAcentral.
UACGUAGGGUGCAAGCGUUGUCCGGAAUUAUUGGGCGUAAAGAGCUCGUAGGCGGUCUGUUACGUCGGCUGUGAAAACCUGGGGCUCAACCCCGGGCCUGCAGCCGAUACGGGCAGACUAGAAUUCGGUAGGGGAGACUGGAAUUCCUGGUGUAGCGGUGAAAUGCGCAGAUAUCAGGAGGAACACCGGUGGCGAAGGCGGGUCUCUGGGCCGAUAUUGACGCUGAGGAGCGAAAGUGUGGGGAGCGAACAGG